This 253-nucleotide ribosomal RNA is filed under the name uncultured bacterium. RNAcentral's name for it is "partial 16S ribosomal RNA". It matches the Rfam family "Bacterial small subunit ribosomal RNA", at positions 524 to 776 of the family's 1533-position model. The record is from RNAcentral.
UACAGAGGUCUCAAGCGUUGUUCGGAUUCAUUGGGCGUAAAGGGUGUGUAGGUGGCGCCGUAAGUCGGGUGUGAAAUUUCGGAGCUUAACUCCGAAACUGCAUUCGAUACUGCGGUGCUUGAGGACUGGAGAGGAGACUGGAAUUCAUGGUGUAGCAGUGAAAUGCGUAGAUAUCUGGAGGAACACCGGUGGCGAAGGCGGCAUCCUGGACCGGCAUUGACGCUGAGGCGCGAAAGCCAGGGGAGCAAACGGG